UACGAAGGGGGCUAGCGUUGCUCGGAAUCACUGGGCGUAAAGCGCACGUAGGCGGAUUGUUAAGUCAGGGGUGAAAUCCUGGAGCUCAACUCCAGAACUGCCUUUGAUACUGGCGAUCUUGAGUCCGGGAGAGGUGAGUGGAACUGCGAGUGUAGAGGUGAAAUGCGUAGAGAUCAUGAGGAAGACCAGUGGCGAAGGCGGGUCUCUGGACAGUUCCUGACACUGAGACACGAAGGCCAGGGGAGCAAACGGG
Molecule: ribosomal RNA, 253 nt
Filed under: uncultured bacterium
Lineage: Bacteria
Description: partial 16S ribosomal RNA
Rfam family: Bacterial small subunit ribosomal RNA
Source: RNAcentral